Molecule: ribosomal RNA, 253 nt
Filed under: uncultured bacterium
Lineage: Bacteria
Description: partial 16S ribosomal RNA
Rfam family: Bacterial small subunit ribosomal RNA
Source: RNAcentral
UACAGAGGCCUCAAGCGUUAAUCGGAAUCACUGGGCUUAAAGCGUGCGUAGGCGGACAUGCAAGCAUGUUGUGAAAUCCCAUGGCUCAACCAUGGAACUGCUUCGUGAACUGCAUGUCUUGAGACAAGUAGGGGUGGUCGGAACGAUAGGUGGAGCGGUGAAAUGCGUAGAUAUCUAUCGGAACACCGAAGGAGAAGUCAGGCCACUGGGCUUGUUCUGACGCUGAGGCACGAAAGCGUGGGGAGCAAACGGG